GACGAAGGGGGCUAGCGUUGUUCGGAAUUACUGGGCGUAAAGCGUGCGCAGGCGGUUUUGUAAGUUUGUCGUGAAAUCCCCGGGCUCAACCUGGGAAUGGCGAUGAAGACUGCAAGGCUAGAAUCUGGCAGAGGGGGGUAGAAUUCCACGUGUAGCAGUGAAAUGCGUAGAGAUGUGGAGGAACACCGAUGGCGAAGGCAGCCCCCUGGGUCAAGAUUGACGCUCAUGCACGAAAGCGUGGGGAGCAAACAGG
Molecule: ribosomal RNA, 253 nt
Filed under: uncultured bacterium
Lineage: Bacteria
Description: partial 16S ribosomal RNA
Rfam family: Bacterial small subunit ribosomal RNA
Source: RNAcentral